Molecule: non-coding RNA, 119 nt
Filed under: Candidatus Moduliflexus flocculans
Lineage: Bacteria; Candidatus Moduliflexota; Candidatus Moduliflexia; Candidatus Moduliflexales; Candidatus Moduliflexaceae
Description: Bacterium UASB14 FMN sequence
Rfam family: FMN riboswitch aptamer (RFN element)
About the family: The RFN element is a highly conserved domain that is found frequently in the 5'-untranslated regions of prokaryotic mRNAs that encode for flavin mononucleotide (FMN) biosynthesis and transport proteins. This element is a metabolite-dependent riboswitch that directly binds FMN in the absence of proteins. In Bacillus subtilis, the riboswitch most likely controls gene expression by causing premature transcription termination within the 5' untranslated region of the ribDEAHT operon and precluding access to the ribosome-binding site of ypaA mRNA.
Source: Rfam by way of RNAcentral
GCAUUCUUUAGGGGCAAGGUGAAAUUCCUGACCGGCGGUACAGUCCGCGAGCCGAGUAAUCGGUUGAUUCGGUGUAAUUCCGAAACCGACAGUUAAAGUCUGGAUGGGAUAAAGAGGCU